ACUCACCGGCUCCAGGCAGCUUCCACACACACACACACACAAAGAACGAAGGCCAGCGUGAACCGCCGCACCCAGGCAGGAGCCUCCUCGCUCUCCGGCUCACUCUCCUCCUCUGUAUCUCUGCAGCGCACCGUGGAGACAACAGAUACCACCCCGGACGCUCCCGCCACCACAGUCCCCGGCUCGACAGAGACGUGCAUUACUGGGGAAAAAAGUGCUGACCUGUCACUGCCCUCACCUGCUGGCCCCAACAUCUACGCCACAUAAUGGGGGAGAAGUGAGGGAGCGCCGGCCGAUCCGCUCUGCUCUGGCUUCCUCUGCAGGAUGUGCACACUGCUCUGGAGCCUCUCAGGAUGUAUAUUUGCCAAGGAUAUGCCCGCUGCACCUGAGAGCCACGGAGCGCUGGCUAGACGGACCGGAGCCGCGUCACUUCCUGUGGGCGGAGUGACGUCAGGACCGGAAACCCAGGCAGCGCGGCUGGAGGCGGCGGUGUGGACCUCUUACAACAUAGAAAUACAGAUGGAGUAAACUUGCUUUAUAAAAUGUGACACUUGAUCAUGCUACUUUGGCUUGAUGGCGUCCCAGAGUGGAGACAACAACUAAAGCCUUGACGCAUUUCUGCAUUUAAUGCAUUACUUUCUCAUGCACACAUCUCUAAUUAAUAUGUUUAUUCAUAAAGGCACAUACUGAACAUAUUCUGUUGCAGAAAGCAACAAGUCUGUCCCGAGGGUCUACAAGAGUCUAGGAAUAGCAGCGCAUUUCCACAUUUGUCCUAACGUAUU
This is a long non-coding RNA of Pseudophryne corroboree (corroboree frog), 782 nucleotides long. RefSeq lists it as uncharacterized. The record is from RefSeq and is a predicted model, not a curated record. The transcript has 5 exons. Lineage: Eukaryota; Metazoa; Chordata; Amphibia; Anura; Myobatrachidae.